This 62-nucleotide transfer RNA is filed under the name Ictidomys tridecemlineatus (thirteen-lined ground squirrel). Its description in RNAcentral is "Spermophilus tridecemlineatus (thirteen-lined ground squirrel) tRNA". It matches the Rfam family "tRNA". From Rfam's summary of the family: Transfer RNA (tRNA) molecules are approximately 80 nucleotides in length. Their secondary structure includes four short double-helical elements and three loops (D, anti-codon, and T loops). Further hydrogen bonds mediate the characteristic L-shaped molecular structure. tRNAs have two regions of fundamental functional importance: the anti-codon, which is responsible for specific mRNA codon recognition, and the 3' end, to which the tRNAs corresponding amino acid is attached (by aminoacyl-tRNA synthetases). tRNAs cope with the degeneracy of the genetic code in two manners: having more than one tRNA (with a specific anti-codon) for a particular amino acid; and 'wobble' base-pairing, i.e. permitting non-standard base-pairing at the 3rd anti-codon position. Lineage: Eukaryota; Metazoa; Chordata; Mammalia; Rodentia; Sciuridae. The record is from Rfam by way of RNAcentral.
GGGGAUGUAGCUCAGUGGUAGAGCACUUGCUUAGCAUGCUCAAGGACCUGGUUCCAUCUCCA